AAGACAGGUCGGAGCAGAUGGAGGCUCGUGGUAUUUCUCACCCUCACCGACUUCCUUCCUUGUGCCCAG
This 69-nucleotide microRNA precursor is filed under the name Mus caroli (Ryukyu mouse). Its description in RNAcentral is "microRNA 6915 (MGP_CAROLIEiJ_G0007073.1)". The record is from RNAcentral. Lineage: Eukaryota; Metazoa; Chordata; Mammalia; Rodentia; Muridae.